ACACAGACUUCAAAUAUCUUUGGGAAUUUGUGCUCCUUAUUUACUGAGUGCUUGAGAAGAAAAGACAAAGCCAGUGGAAUGGUCCGAGUGUGGCAUCCGCUGCAUUUAUAAAGAAUAAGAGCUGCAGUGGGUGUGAUUCUUGGACAGAGUGGCGCUCAUCCUUGUUCCUGCAAUGAAGGACAUGCCAGCCUCCAGGCUCUUUGACAGAUGAUUGGAACUGUGCAAAUAUUAUGGAAGAUACCCCGUGUCAAGAAGCUGACAGCACACACGUUUGGGAAGGAUUUAGUGGCUGAAGCACUUCUAGAAGACAUCACCAAAAUGAAACAGUCUACUAUCAGCAAAGAAUGCCAGAGCAAGAGUGUGAAACAGAGAGCACAGAGCCGUGAUGCUGCCCCCUGCCGGUGGUGCAGGAGAAAGGACGCAACCUCAGUCUACGACUCCUGCCAAGAUUAUCAGCCACGCUAGAAACUAAAGGGUGAAAACAGGGUUUCUCUGCUGCAAUUCCAUCUCUUCCUCUAGAAACUUGUCGUAGGAAUGACUCCCUGUAACUUCCCACACCUGCCUCUUCUUUCUGUAAGUGUUGGCUAACAGAAUCCCCUCCUUCCUCGGUCCUUGCUAAGUGACUGAAUUCAGAAACUCCUGGACAAUAUUACAACCAUCCGUAUUACUGGUCUUUGGCGCUCUAGACUUAUUUUAGAAAGAAAAAUGUGGCAAAUCAUCCAAGAAUUUUCCUGUGCACAGCAUAGGGAUCUGUUUCUCUUACCAUCAGAAAGGGAUUCAUAGUCAUAAUCAUAUUCGUCCUCCUCAUCUUCCUCUUCCUCAUUAUUGGCAGGUCGGGGGUUGGCAUUCCCACCAUUAUAAGCCUGCACUUGCAUAGAUGCUAACUGAUGAGCCUGUAAAAUAGCAAUAAUUGUAAACUGCAGAUGCCAAGUUAAUGAAUUCAUUUAUAACCUUUAAAACUACCCCUGAUGUUUAACACAAUCGUUAAAAGUGGCUUAACCUAUUUUGAUACAUUUGGGAGAGGAGAAAAAAAUCUAGAUUCCCUCGAAAUGCAAUGUCAACACUUGGGUGAACGUUAGCAUUCCUACAGGAAGAAUCCUGGAGCUUUUAUAAACAAUCUCCAGAAGACUGUGUGCAGUGCCCAGCUAGCCAGGUUCCCAGGACAACCCCUCCAAGAGAAAGCUUUGGUGAUUUGGAGAACCAGCAUCAAUCCCAAGUGACUGAAGAAGUGAAUCACCCAUCAAUUUUUCAGAAGUAUGUCUCUGUUAAGAAACCAUUUUUUCCCCUUCUUAAAAUAAUAUCUACAGGCUCCUGACCUUGAGAACAAUAUUAGAAUCCCUAUGGACAAAGAGGCCAAAAGAAUUGUUGUUGGUUUAAAUAAAAUUGUUUUCAAACGGCUUUCUGAACCAUAAAUCAGAUUAACAAAACAGGCCUAGAAACUUUAGGAAACUUGAUGUGUGCAGCCAGGGAGGUCACAUACUCCGUGUUUACUGGAAUUACUGUGAAGUGAUAAGCAUCAGUACAGGUCUGGGAACCUACCUAGCUUAAGAAAAUCAUCUGAAAUAUAGGAAACGUUACUUGCAUGAACUAAAUGCAGGAAACAAUCUAAACGGGGUAGAGGAACGGGGUCAGUAAGCAAUGGUUGUCUGCUGGAGAGAAUGAGAUAUGAAAAAAUAAUUGAUAUAUAUUUAUUGAACAAAGGAAGUGAACAAAUUCUUUUAUUCAAUAUUUAUGCAUUGAAUAUACUAUAUAGAUUAUAUAUACACACAUAUAUAAUUCUGCAUGUGUAUGUGUGCAUACAUGUGUGCUAAUAUAUACUAUAUAUAAUGUAUGUGUGUGCAUACAGAUAAUAGCUAUACAUGUAAAUAUAUACACUAUAUAAAUAUACAUAUAAUUCUGUAUUUGUUUUAUAUAUUUAAAGUGCAAUUAUAUAAAAUGACAGUCACGAAGUCCUAGAUAUUAAAUGUUAAUAUGGCAGGGGUUCUUCACUUGUU
This is a long non-coding RNA of Homo sapiens (human), 1994 nucleotides long. Ensembl annotates it as PLCE1 antisense RNA 1. Its record names the gene PLCE1-AS1. The record is from Ensembl. Lineage: Eukaryota; Metazoa; Chordata; Mammalia; Primates; Hominidae.